Nicotiana tabacum (common tobacco) is the source of this 481-nucleotide non-coding RNA. The record is from RefSeq and is a predicted model, not a curated record. NCBI's taxonomy places the organism in Eukaryota, Viridiplantae, Streptophyta, Magnoliopsida, Solanales, Solanaceae.
UUAUCAAAAGCUUUAUGGGUAUUUGUAAAGAUGUCUAAAUUAUGUACACAUAUUUGGUACUUAGUAUUUUUGUUGUUUCUUGUUGUCCAGACUACUUGCAUGGUAUAAAAGAUUCUGAGGUGCAGCGAUGUAACAAGGCUGUAAAUGUAACAAAAGCUCAAAAUCAUGGAGUGGUUCAGCACUUAUCAGGUUCGGCGAAAGCACUUGAUAGUGAUGAUACUGUCAUUUACAGGGCUAACACAAGAGUUUCUUUGACCUGUCGAGUAGUAACAAAGGUUUGUAAAAAUAUUUUUAAGUUCUAGCUUCUUACAGAAAUAAAACUAGCAACAGAUGCAACGCCAAGAUGAGUAGAUCAUUGAGUUAGGAGAAUUACAACCACCCUGCAGUUUUGUAAUAUCUUACUAUAUUGAUUUGUGCUAGAUUGCACCACGAAAACCUCAAUGAUUUAACAAUUUAAAUGUAGCAUAGUUAGAUUUAUCCA